RNAcentral lists this ribosomal RNA (254 nucleotides) under uncultured bacterium. RNAcentral describes it as "partial 16S ribosomal RNA". It matches the Rfam family "Bacterial small subunit ribosomal RNA", at positions 524 to 776 of the family's 1533-position model. The record is from RNAcentral.
GACGAACCGUGCGAACGUUAUUCGGAUUCACUGGGCUUAAAGGGCGCGUAGACGGACGACCGCGUCGAUGGCUGAAAGCCCCCGGCUCAACCGGGGAAUGGGCCUCGAUACGGGUCGUCUCGAGUGGAGGAGGGGGACCUGGAACUUCCGGUGGAGCGGUGAAAUGCGUUGAGAUCGGAAGGAACGCCGGCGGCGAAAGCGAGGUCCUGGACUCUGACUGACGUUGAGGCGCGAAAGCCAGGGGAGCGAACGGG